This 497-nucleotide ribosomal RNA is filed under the name uncultured bacterium. Its description in RNAcentral is "partial 16S ribosomal RNA". It matches the Rfam family "Bacterial small subunit ribosomal RNA", at positions 28 to 507 of the family's 1533-position model. The record is from RNAcentral.
GAUGAACGCUGGCGGCGUGCCUAAUACAUGCAAGUCAAGCGAACGGACGAGAAGCUUGCUUUUCUGAUGUUAGCGGCGGACGGGUGAGUAACACGUGGAUAACCUACCUAUAAGACUGGGAUAACUUCGGGAAACCGGAGCUAAUACCGGAUAAUAUUUUGAACCGCAUGGUUCAAAAGUGAAAGACGGUCUUGCUGUCACUUAUAGAUGUAUCCGCGCUGCAUUAGCUAGUUGGUAAGGUAACGGCUUACCAAGGCAACGAUGCAUAGCCGACCUGAGAGGGUGAUCGGCCACACUGGAACUGAGACACGGUCCAGACUCCUACGGGAGGCAGCAGUAGGGAAUCUUCCGCAAUGGGCGAAAGCCUGACGGAGCAACGCCGCGUGAGUGAUGAAGGUCUUCGGAUCGUAAAACUCUGUUAUUAGGGAAGAACAUAUGUGUAAGUAACUGUGCACAUCUUGACGGUACCUAAUCAGAAAGCCACGGCUAACUACGUG